AAAUUGAAGAGUUUGAUCAUGGCUCAGAUUGAACGCUGGCGGCAGGCCUAACACAUGCAAGUCGAACGGUAACAGGAAGCAGCUUGCUGCUUUGCUGACGAGUGGCGGACGGGUGAGUAAUGUCUGGGAAACUGCCUGAUGGAGGGGGAUAACUACUGGAAACGGUGGCUAAUACCGCAUAACGUCGCAAGACCAAAGAGGGGGACCUUCGGGCCUCUUGCCAUCAGAUGUGCCCAGAUGGGAUUAGCUUGUUGGUGAGGUAACGGCUCACCAAGGCGACGAUCCCUAGCUGGUCUGAGAGGAUGACCAGCCACACUGGAACUGAGACACGGUCCAGACUCCUACGGGAGGCAGCAGUGGGGAAUAUUGCACAAUGGGCGCAAGCCUGAUGCAGCCAUGCCGCGUGUAUGAAGAAGGCCUUCGGGUUGUAAAGUACUUUCAGCGGGGAGGAAGGUGUUGUGGUUAAUAACCACAGCAAUUGACGUUACCCGCAGAAGAAGCACCGGCUAACUCCGUGCCAGCAGCCGCGGUAAUACGGAGGGUGCAAGCGUUAAUCGGAAUUACUGGGCGUAAAGCGCACGCAGGCGGUCUGUCAAGUCGGAUGUGAAAUCCCCGGGCUCAACCUGGGAACUGCAUUCGAAACUGGCAGGCUUGAGUCUUGUAGAGGGGGGUAGAAUUCCAGGUGUAGCGGUGAAAUGCGUAGAGAUCUGGAGGAAUACCGGUGGCGAAGGCGGCCCCCUGGACAAAGACUGACGCUCAGGUGCGAAAGCGUGGGGAGCAAACAGGAUUAGAUACCCUGGUAGUCCACGCCGUAAACGAUGUCUACUUGGAGGUUGUGCCCUUGAGGCGUGGCUUCCGGAGCUAACGCGUUAAGUAGACCGCCUGGGGAGUACGGCCGCAAGGUUAAAACUCAAAUGAAUUGACGGGGGCCCGCACAAGCGGUGGAGCAUGUGGUUUAAUUCGAUGCAACGCGAAGAACCUUACCUGGUCUUGACAUCCACAGAACUUUCCAGAGAUGGAUUGGUGCCUUCGGGAACUGUGAGACAGGUGCUGCAUGGCUGUCGUCAGCUCGUGUUGUGAAAUGUUGGGUUAAGUCCCGCAACGAGCGCAACCCUUAUCCUUUGUUGCCAGCGGUCCGGCCGGGAACUCAAAGGAGACUGCCAGUGAUAAACUGGAGGAAGGUGGGGAUGACGUCAAGUCAUCAUGGCCCUUACGACCAGGGCUACACACGUGCUACAAUGGCGCAUACAAAGAGAAGCGACCUCGCGAGAGCAAGCGGACCUCAUAAAGUGCGUCGUAGUCCGGAUUGGAGUCUGCAACUCGACUCCAUGAAGUCGGAAUCGCUAGUAAUCGUGGAUCAGAAUGCCACGGUGAAUACGUUCCCGGGCCUUGUACACACCGCCCGUCACACCAUGGGAGUGGGUUGCAAAAGAAGUAGGUAGCUUAACCUUCGGGAGGGCGCUUACCACUUUGUGAUUCAUGACUGGGGUGAAGUCGUAACAAGGUAACCGUAGGGGAACCUGCGGUUGGAUCACCUCCUUACCUGAAAGAAGC
This 1554-nucleotide ribosomal RNA is filed under the name Salmonella enterica subsp. enterica serovar Javiana. Its description in RNAcentral is "bacterial SSU rRNA". It matches the Rfam family "Bacterial small subunit ribosomal RNA". The record is from RNAcentral. Lineage: Bacteria; Pseudomonadati; Pseudomonadota; Gammaproteobacteria; Enterobacterales; Enterobacteriaceae.